AUUGAACGCUGGCGGCAGGCCUAACACAUGCAAGUCGAGCGGCAGCGACUUAACUGAACCUUCGGGGAACGUUAAGGGCGGCGAGCGGCGGACGGGUGAGUAAUGCCUGGGAAUAUGCCUCAGUGUGGGGGAUAACUAUUGGAAACGAUAGCUAAUACCGCAUAAUCUCCGAUCUUUUACGAGAUGGGAGCAAAGCGGGGGACCUUCGGGCCUCGCGCGCUGAGAUUAGCCCAGGUGGGAUUAGCUUGUUGGUGAGGUAAUGGCUCACCAAGGCAACGAUCCCUAGCUGGUCUGAGAGGAUGAUCAGCCACACUGGAACUGAGACACGGUCCAGACUCCUACGGGAGGCAGCAGUGGGGAAUAUUGCACAAUGGGGGAAACCCUGAUGCAGCCAUGCCGCGUGUGUGAAGAAGGCCUUCGGGUUGUAAAGCACUUUCAGUAGGGAGGAAGGUAGUGUAGUUAACACCUGCAUUAUUUGACGUUACCUACAGAAGAAGCACCGGCUAACUCCGUGCCAGCAGCCGCGGUAAUACGGAGGGUGCGAGCGUUAAUCGGAAUUACUGGGCGUAAAGCGCAUGCAGGCGGCCUGUUAAGUCAGAUGUGAAAGCCCGGGGCUUAACCUCGGAAUUGCAUUUGAAACUGGCAGGCUAGAGUCUUGUAGAGGGGGGUAGAAUUUCAGGUGUAGCGGUGAAAUGCGUAGAGAUCUGAAGGAAUACCAGUGGCGAAGGCGGCCCCCCUGGACAAAGACUGACGCUCAGAUGCGAAAGCGUGGGGAGCAAACAGG
RNAcentral lists this ribosomal RNA (784 nucleotides) under uncultured bacterium. RNAcentral describes it as "bacterial SSU rRNA". It matches the Rfam family "Bacterial small subunit ribosomal RNA", at positions 28 to 776 of the family's 1533-position model. The record is from RNAcentral.